CAUGCAGUCGAACGGCAGCGCGGGAGCAAUCCUGGCGGCGAGUGGCGAACGGGUGAGUCAUACAUCGGAACGUGCCCAAUCGUGGGGGAUAACGCAGCGAAAGCUGUGCUAAUACCGCAUACGAUCUACGGAUGAAAGCAGGGGAUCGCAAGACCUUGCGCGAAUGGAGCGGCCGAUGGCAGAUUAGGUAGUUGGUGAGGUAAAGGCUCACCAAGCCUUCGAUCUGUAGCUGGUCUGAGAGGACGACCAGCCACACUGGGACUGAGACACGGCCCAAACUCCUACGGGAGGCAGCAGUGGGGAAUUUUGGACAAUGGGCGAAAGCCUGAUCCAGCCAUGCCGCGUGCAGGAUGAAGGCCUUCGGGUUGUAAACUGCUUUUGUACGGAACGAAACGGCCUUUUCUAAUAAAGAGGGCUAAUGACGGUACCGUAAGAAUAAGCACCGGCUAACUACGUGCCAGCAGCCGCGGUAAUACGUAGGGUGCAAGCGUUAAUCGGAAUUACUGGGCGUAAAGCGUGCGCAGGCGGUUAUGUAAGACAGUUGUGAAAUCCCCGGGCUCAA
RNAcentral lists this ribosomal RNA (562 nucleotides) under bacterium amp-d-23. RNAcentral's name for it is "bacterial SSU rRNA". It matches the Rfam family "Bacterial small subunit ribosomal RNA", at positions 54 to 612 of the family's 1533-position model. The record is from RNAcentral.